CCGGGAUGGGGGAUCUGCCCUGGAGCUGGAGCCUCCCAAGGUCAGUGCUGGAGGCUGAGCCCCAGUGCCCAGUGCAGAUAUGGAGCUAUUCCAAAGCCUUUGGAGAAUGAGUCCUGCUGGCUCCAGAGCUUCCCGAGUGGUUGGGUGCCGGGGGAUCCCUGAUAGCCGUGCGGUGGCGAAGCUGCCUUGGGCCUGUUGUUCAGUCUGGGAAUGUUGGAAGGAGACUGAAGUGUUGGAGUUUCACCUCGUUAACUCUUCAGAACAUGGCACCAGCUGGUGUUUUGGGUGCCGGGCAAUGCAGGGUAGAGGGGAUGGAAGGAGCUGUCACUUCCCACUGAGAGCACAGCAAUUAAUUCCUAGGAGGUGCUGUCUUUCCUCCUUUCCCUGGUGGAGCUGAGCUUGCUGUGCAGAGCUGUAGUUUCAGGACACAGUUGUGAUGCUUCCUAUGGGAACAGAGGAAUAUUCCUGCUAUGGUGGACUCUGUCAUUCCUAUUAUUCCUGUGUGGAAAAUACUGCAGUGAUGUUCAACAGCAUGAAACCCUAAAAUAGAUGCUGGACAGGACUUUUCCCCAGUGACUGGCAAAGUUGGAGUCCAUGGAGCAGAGGUUUUGGAGACCUGCAGGACCAUUCCAGACCAAACUGGAGACAUAUUUGUGUGGAUAGAGCAGCCCACCAUCCCUGUGUGUGUAGGAGAUGCUCCUUUCUCUCAUCCCAAGAGCUGAAGAGCCACAGGGCAGAACUUGAAGAGGGAGGAGGAUUCUGAGAGGGAGGAAGAUUUGGACAAGGGUGGAUGUAUUUUAACUUUCAGUAAUAUGUGGAUAUUGAGUCUUUGCCAUCUCCUGGGGAAGAACUUGUUUGUCCAGUUCUUAGAGGGAGCUUUGGGGCCAAGUUUUGUCCCAGUUUAUAGCUGCAAGUCUCAAAAAGUCACCAGGAACAGACUGGAGAAGAAACCAGCCCCUCACCUGUCUGAAUGCUCACUGCAAUUCUUCCCAGGGUUCUCCUACAUCACUGACUUGAUUUCCCUCCCUCCUGGGGAGGAAGGAGACAGUCUUUACUUCCAGUUGUGGAGAAGAGCACAGCACAUUUCCCUUCAGGAACAGCUUUGGCUGUUCUGGAGCCUGCAGCACGCACAGAUAGAGUGCUGUUCCAGAGAACACGUUGCUGGAAAAUAUGAAGCCUUGUUAUCUUUCUGCGUUUUUAUUUAGCCAAACAAGGUUUCCAUAGCUCCUGGACAGCUCUGCUGCUGGGGGAAAGAAAAAAAACCACGCUGUCAUUUCUUCACCUGCCAACUCUCUGCACUAAUUUUGUCUCCCUGCUUCAAAGCGCUCGUCGUGCCCAGAAAACGUCAGUUCAAAGAGAAGUUUUGUCCAGUAAUGAGCCAGUGAAAAUUGUUUAGUGUAAGAUCUCCUUGUGCAGCUCUCAGAGCUGUGCUGAGGUGGGAGCAGAGCCGGGCACUGGGGUCUGCUCUGAGCUCUCUGCUCAGGAGGCUGCAAUCGGGGCUGAUGUUCCACAGGAGCAGCUCUAAGGGAGCAGAUGAAAGGAGCAUCCCUCGCUUCCUGCAUCUUCCCAAGUGAUAAAUUCAUCUGCUGAGGAGAAAAAAAACACCUCAGCCCUUACACAAGGGCUGUAGGAACAGGACACUUCUCUGUGCUGAUGCAUGUUGGGGUCUGCAGAGCCUCUUCCCCUGCUGACCUCCACCCCACACCGCCCCAGGGCGCGCUCCCAAAACGUGGGAUGUUCCCUGGGCUGGGGAAGUGUGUGAAAGGGAGCUGCUCCUGCCAGGGCUCAGCCUUGUGACAGGGCCUGCAAGGGCCACAUCCUGACCUUGGAUGCACAAGACUGUAGUAAAUCAGAGCCUCUAAUGCAGCCAAAAGCCAACUUUUCCCUGCAAGGAAAACACUGUAUGUAACACCAAGAGACAAAUACCAAAGUCCUUAGCUGGUUCUUGAAAAAAAGAAAUAAAUCUCCCAUUGGCCCUGGUGAGAGUUUUGCCUGAGUAAGGACAUCCAGAUUAUGCAUGCUAAUUAAAUGAACGACCCAUCCCUUCAGAGUCUGCUCUCUGCUGGGAAUUCCCCUCUGAGUAACUUGCUCCCAGUGAGGAAAGGAGUUGCAUGAAAAAUUUCCCAGAUGGUGAAUCUGUUAGAGAAAAUCACAAUCUGUUUGUGGCUUUUUCAAACAAAAAAGAGCACAGGAGUCGCUGAGGAAUAAAUUUGUUGUUGCAAACCAUUUGCUCAGUAAUGGGGAGAAUUUAGAUGGGCAAAGAGAUUUUUUAUUUUU
Long non-coding RNA from Poecile atricapillus (Black-capped chickadee), 2277 nucleotides. RefSeq lists it as uncharacterized. The record is from RefSeq and is a predicted model, not a curated record. NCBI's taxonomy places the organism in Eukaryota, Metazoa, Chordata, Aves, Passeriformes, Paridae. The transcript has 3 exons.